CAGCCGCCGCGGUAAUACGUAGGGUGCGAGCGUUAAUCGGAAUUACUGGGCGUAAAGCGUGCGCAGGCGGUUGUGUAAGACAGGUGUGAAAUCCCCGGGCUUAACCUGGGAACUGCGCUUGUGACUGCACAGCUAGAGUAUGGCAGAGGGGGGUGGAAUUCCACGUGUAGCAGUGAAAUGCGUAGAGAUGUGGAGGAACAUCAGUGGCGAAGGCGGCCAUCUGGGACAACACUGACGCUGAGGCACGAAAGCGUGGGGAGCAAACAGGAUUAGAUACCCGCGUAGUCCCUGUCUCUUAUAC
RNAcentral lists this ribosomal RNA (301 nucleotides) under uncultured bacterium. RNAcentral describes it as "partial 16S ribosomal RNA". It matches the Rfam family "Bacterial small subunit ribosomal RNA", at positions 509 to 807 of the family's 1533-position model. The record is from RNAcentral.